CGCUAACACGAAGUAAGGCUGGGGCUGAUGGGAAUGUCAUUAGUUCUGCAGUUUCCCCAUCAUCCUCCUCCUCCUGUUGUCAUCGUCUCCGCUGGUGUGCAGGAACGCACGGUCUGUCACAUUACUGUAGGUGGAGACGUACAGCUGAGGGACGGGGGAAUGUUUGAGGCCGGAUGCCAGCUGUGCUAAGGAGACGCAGCUCAGCGUUGGAGGAGCGUCAACCGGAGGAGAGGAGAACGUCUCAUUAAUCACGAGGACAGGGACGAGAUGAGGAUCGCAGCCGUUCUCCUCUCAAAGCGUUCACUCCAACUAUUGAUUGACAUCGUGGGGUGUAUGUUUAGAUGUAUAGUUGAAAGAGGGAAAUGGAAAAACCAGCAAAAAGUGCGAGGCUUGGAAAGUGCCAGGUGCAUUAGCAUGAAGGACUUAGCUUCACAUGUUCUUUAAAAAGGGAGCAUAAACCCACCAAGCUGUGGCAUGUUUAGCUAAUCUAGAGACAAGAUGAUGGAAAAAGAUCCCUGAAUUAAGAAGAAUUACAUUUAAAGUAAAAUCCGUAUAUUAUAUACUGUACCUGCAGAACUGAUCACAUUCCCAUCAGCCUUACUUUAUAUUCACUGCUAAUUAGCUAACACUAGCAUGCUAACCGAUUAACUCAGUAAAUGUAUAUACCUGUAAAGUUCUUAUGAUGCGAAACUCUUUUUGGAGCAUUGAUUGAUCUGAUGUCAAAUAAAUGAGCUAAAUGCCAACAUCCACAUGCUAACAAUGACAGUGCUGACAGGUGCAAUGAUUACCAUGGUGAGCAUCUGCGUUAGCAUGCUAAUGCUAGCUAAUUAGCACGCUAACACGAAGUAAGGCUGGGGCUGAUGGGAAUGUCAUUAGUUCUGCAGGUAAAGUAUUCUGCAAUAAACUAAAGUACUGGACACAUAUCAGUCACUUCUGGCAGGAACAGUCAAUAAGAAAUGAAAAUGACUCAUAUUUCAGUGAAGGAUUCCCUCAACACCCUCCUGCUUUAAACGAAUCUGAGCCACUAUUUAAAAAUACCUCGUACCUCGUGCAGGUUUAUUGGGUUCACUUGAUGUUUGAACUUGUUUUGAUUUCCUAGCAGCGGAGAGUAAAACUCACAUGUUGUUUUAAUACCAGGUUCUUCACUCCCUCCAUGACAAACUGGGAUCCAGUAUUCAUCACUCUGGAGAACAGGCUGUAGGGAGGGGAGGAAACAAGGGGGAGGAAGAGGAGGAGGAGGACAG
This is a long non-coding RNA of Eleginops maclovinus (Patagonian blennie), 1244 nucleotides long. RefSeq lists it as uncharacterized. Lineage: Eukaryota; Metazoa; Chordata; Actinopteri; Perciformes; Eleginopidae. The record is from RefSeq and is a predicted model, not a curated record. The transcript has 3 exons.